UGGGGUGUAGGCUAGUUGGUAGAGUGCUUACCUAACGUGCAGGACACCCUGGGUUCUAUUCUAUACCCAGCAACUCAU
This 78-nucleotide transfer RNA is filed under the name Mus musculus (house mouse). RNAcentral describes it as "tRNA-Val". Lineage: Eukaryota; Metazoa; Chordata; Mammalia; Rodentia; Muridae. The record is from RNAcentral.